CUACGGGAGGCAGCAGUGAGGAAUUUUGCGCAAUGGGGGAAACCCUGACGCAGCAACGCCGCGUGAGUGAAGAAGGCCCUUGGGUCGUAAAGCUCUGUCAAUGGGGAAGAAGUUAUUAUGUGUUAAUAGCACAUUUUAUUGACGGUACCCAUGAAGGAAGCACCGGCUAACUCCGUGCCAGCAGCCGCGGUAAUACGGGGGGUGCAAGCGUUAUUCGGAAUUAUUGGGCGUAAAGGGCACGCAGGCGGUCCUGUCAGUCAGAUGUGAAAGCCCAGGGCUCAACCCUGGACGUGCAUUUGAAACAGCAGGACUUGAGUACGGGAGAGGAAAGGGGAAUUCCUGGUGUAGAGGUGAAAUUCGUAGAUAUCAGGAGGAACACCGGUGGCGAAGGCGCCUUUCUGGACCGAUACUGACGCUGAGGUGCGAAGGCGUGGGUAGCGAACGGGAUUAGAUACCCUUGUAGUC
RNAcentral lists this ribosomal RNA (465 nucleotides) under uncultured bacterium. RNAcentral describes it as "partial 16S ribosomal RNA". It matches the Rfam family "Bacterial small subunit ribosomal RNA", at positions 339 to 795 of the family's 1533-position model. The record is from RNAcentral.